Long non-coding RNA from Phragmites australis (common reed), 2414 nucleotides. RefSeq lists it as uncharacterized. The transcript is spliced from 3 exons. The record is from RefSeq and is a predicted model, not a curated record. Lineage: Eukaryota; Viridiplantae; Streptophyta; Magnoliopsida; Poales; Poaceae.
UCCUCCCUUGGGAAGUGAGUAAGAGCCGUCUUGUCAUCGAGUUCUCUCACGAGCAUUCGCGCAAAAGCAUCGUCCUAGCUAGUAUCCAGAGCAACAAGUAGCACAAUAUAUUCUUAGCUGAAGUACAAAAAUAAUGAACCGAAUCCCAUCCUCUUCAGUCAUGAGUCCUAAUGUCCUAUCUCUCCAAGUCCGACCCUAGCAACCUUAGGGCUAUACGACACCAUGAGCAAGAACAGGGAUGCCGCCGGCUUCGUCCCCAAUUUGGGCAAGACGACAAUGAACAGUUUGUGUAGUGGGGUAUGGUUCCUAUCCCUCUCUUCUCGUGUUGAGUUGCUGCAUCUGCUUGGCACUUUGCAGUGGUGGUCGACGACGCGACGGGACGAGGCGUUGGUGGUGGUGGUGAUGGUGGUGUGGCUGACAGAAGAGAGUGAGCAUGCAGCGGCCAGACUGGAUCUAAAUAUGGCUGAUUCUGAAGAGAUACAAGACGAUGGAUGGAUGAAUGCCUAGACGCAGCUGUUGUUGCGUGCUCACUUCUCUUUCUGUCAGGUCUCUUCGGAAUAAGGCACUCUUAAAUUUUAUGGCAGCCGCUGCGCGAAUGCACGCCAUGGAUUCUCGCGCCGGGCAAUUUCUCUACGUUUCUUUCCUCGGCGAGCUUCUCGUUGCCAUCUCUGUGCCUUCCGAUGAUGGAUUAUUAGCAGGGCCUUCAGCCUUGGGGGAAGAGGACGCGUGAUGGAUUAACACCGCUCUUUGCUCGCCUUCCCAGAUGUGCUUAACGGAAAGCACUGUUUGACUAGUCCUUGCUAGUUGCUACCCCUUCUCCCUCUCCUUUACCCUCUCUCUCACUUAUGUACUCUCCUUUUUUUGGCAAAGAUCUCACAGCAAAAAUUGCAUCUUUUUCCCUUUUGUUUUGCUCAUCUUAUGUGGUGCUCUGAGUGUUGUGAGGUAGGUGGGAGGUAGAUCUGCUUGGUUGCAAGUUGAAAGGGGGCACCUACCGGCGGCGGUGCCUUCAAGAUCUGGAAAUGUUUCUUCUCCGCUCAAGCUUUGGAUCCACAGUAGACUUAAAGAUUGUUUAAUCCUUUGACACAACAAAGGGAUUGGUUCAAGAAGAUACUGGGUGCAUGGCGCCUAUGCUCCUGAAGGUGCAUUCUUUCACCUGCUUGAAGUUGCGGAUGCAGUAUUUCCAAGUUUCCGGCAUCAUUUCAUGAAGUAUGACCUCAGCGAACUAGAUAUUACUGCAGAGUUCAGUGCAGCUGUGCAUGCAACCCAGUUAUCUGUCCUGGCAUACAAUAUGAGAGCUAUUCCAUUUCUGUAAGGCUAUUACUCAACUUGCUUCUCAAUUUUCGUCUUCUCUAUUGCAUGCCUAGCUCGGUGUGCUUUGUUUUGAAAGUUAAUCACAGAAAUGAGGAAAAUAAAAAUUAUAUUAUUUUAUCUGAGAGAAGCUUUCCACUGAUCUAAGUAUGAGCCGAAGCUAGGUUUGUUCCCAGUGAAGCCUAGGACAAUCGGUGUGCUUAAUAUUUCUGAAGUGGUGAUGAAUCUACACUGAGACUUGUCGUGAACUGAUGAUUUAGGUUUGAAACCACGCUAUCUUGUUCUCAGGGGUUUAAUUUCCGUUUUUGGGAAUUCUGGCUACCCACUAGGACGUUGGUAACUGAUUGGUUUCAGUUUCUCUUGUGGAUAAGCCAAUUUCUUUUCCUUUGACAAGUUCAGCUGUGUCCUCAACUUGAUAUAGUAGCACUGGCCUCUAAAUUCUUUUGAGAUAGUGCACUCAGAUACUCUAGCUAGAACUGACCGGUUUUAAUUUUGAAUCCAGAAAUCUGCCGGUAUUUCUGGUUACUGUUUUUACAACCCUAGUACUGGUGAUCACCUUGAUUAUCUUUGUUGCAGAUUCUGCAGGUAAUAUACUUGUAGUCAAGGUGGUUUCUGUGUCUCAUACAAGUGCCAGGUAUAUGGCAUACAAGUAAAACUAGCUAUGUAUCAAUUACAUAUUGAAAACAGUCACUUGUGUUUUUUGCUUGUUGCAAAUAUCUUUUGUUAUUAAACAAAAUUGACAGAAGAACCUGUGACAUAAUUUUUGUCCUUGCUAACUUCAUACUAUACAAUUCCCAAGUCAGAUCAUUCCAGUAUGCAGGUACUCAAUUUUCAUUGUGUCAUCUAAUAGUGAAACGGUCAAGCAAAAGUUCCUAGUAAUGUCCUAUAACCGAAUCAGUUUGUGCUUGUAUAGCUUUGGGUCCAACCAAGCAAUUGCUCUUUGAAGAACUGAUGUAAAGCGGGGCAUCCCCCGCCCCCCCCCCCCCCCCAAGAACGCGUGAAGCUUGCGUGUCUUGAUAGAAGCAAGAAAAUGGAGAAGCACACCGCAUGUUGUCACUGGUACUGCUUGCUUACCAUGUAUAGAUUGUCUUCUCCAUUGUACUGUA